UUAUUUAUUUUAUUAUAUUUAUUUUUUGUAAUUUUAAUUAGGUAAUAAAAGUAAUUUUUUUAAGUUUUGUUUUAGUAUAUUUUAUAGAAUAAAUUAUUUUAAUUAUAGUUAAGUAGUAAUGUAAAUGUGUUAUGAAAUAUUCAUUAAAUUUAUUAAAGUAUAUUUUAUUUAUAGUACCUUUUGUAUCAGGGUGAAUCAAAAUUUUUGUAGUUAUUUACUUAUCUCGAUUUGGGUUGAUCUAUAAACAAAUUAUAGUUAAUGUUUCAUAAUUAUUAUUAAUUUGUUUAUAGAAAUGAGAUGUUAAUCGUUUCCUAAGAUAUCUAGUUUCUUAAGAAAAAUUUUAAAUUUUUAAGGUAGGUGUUCUUGUUUAAUUUUAAAAUUAAAGAAUACUAUCCUGUUUAUUCUUCAGGGGAUAAGCUCUGAAGGKUUAUAAUAUAAACUAUAAUUUUUUGUUUUUGAAUAUAAUGGUAGGCUUUAAACCAGCCAUCAAUUUUGAUUACGKUUUAGKUCAUUCUUUUUUAUUUCUUAUUUUAUAAUUAUUUUAGKUUUUUUAUUAAGAURAUAAAUUUAAUUUUUWAAWUUUUGUAAUAAUGGUUUAAUUAGUAUAUUUCUUUGUUUAUUAUAAUUUAUUUUGUGAAUUUAUUAUAAGGAACUAGGCAAUUAUGAUUUCCGCCUGUUUAUCAAAAACAUGUCCUCUUGUAUUAUAUUUUGAGGUCUAGCCUGCUCMCUGAUGAAAUUAGAWUUAAAGAGCCGCGGUAUCUUGACCGUGCAAAGGUAGCAUAAUCAUUAGUCUCUUAAUUGGAGGCUGGAAUGAAUGGUUUAACGAGAAAUCAACUGUCUCUUAUUAAAUUAUAGAAUUUAACCUUUAAGUUAAAAGGCUUAAAUUUUUCUUAAGGACGAGAAGACCCUAUAGAUCUUAAUAUUUAAAUUUGGUAUAAUUUCCUGAUAGUUUUUUUAUAGUUAAUGUAAAUAUUUUGUUGGGGUGACAUGAAGAAUAAAUAAACUCUUCAUUAUUUAAUCAUUAAUUUAUGUCUAAUUGAUCCAUAAUUUAUGAUCAUAAGAUUAAGUUACCUUAGGGAUAACAGCGUAAUUGUUUUAGAGAGCUCAUAUCAACAAAGCAGAUUGCGACCUCGAUGUUGGAUUAAGAAAAAUUUUGAGUGCAGUAGCCCAAAAAUUAGGUCUGUUCGACCUUUAAAUUCUUACAUGAUCUGAGUUCAGACCGGCGUGAGCCAGGUCGGUUUCUAUCCUAAGAUAAAUGGUUCACGUUAGUACGAAAGGACCAUGUGAAUGGAAUAAUUUUUUAGUUUUGAUUGAAAUUAAUUAUUU
Molecule: ribosomal RNA, 1326 nt
Filed under: Xyleus modestus
Lineage: Eukaryota; Metazoa; Arthropoda; Insecta; Orthoptera; Romaleidae
Description: large subunit ribosomal RNA
Rfam family: Bacterial large subunit ribosomal RNA (bases 866-1255)
Source: RNAcentral